AGCGAACGUUAGCGGCGGGCCUAACACAUGCAAGUCGAGCGAGAAAGUGGCUUCGGCCAUCAGUAAAGCGGCGGACGGGUGAGUAACACGUAGGUAAUCUUCCCUUGAGCGGGGGACAACGUUUCGAAGGAACGCUAAUACCGCAUAAGUUUUCUUGAGCCUCCGGGUUUGGGAAGGAAAGCCAGGUCGCAAGAUCCGGCACUCGAGGAGGAGCCUGCGUCGCAUCAGCUAGUUGGUGGGGAAUGGCCUACCAAGGCGAAGACGCGUAGCUGGUCUGAGAGGAUGAUCAGCCACACUGGGACUGAGACACGGCCCAGACUCCUACGGGAGGCAGCAGUGGGGAAUAUUGGACAAUGGGCGCAAGCCUGAUCCAGCCACGCCGCGUGAGUGAUGAAGGCC
RNAcentral lists this ribosomal RNA (399 nucleotides) under uncultured bacterium. RNAcentral describes it as "bacterial SSU rRNA". It matches the Rfam family "Bacterial small subunit ribosomal RNA", at positions 29 to 416 of the family's 1533-position model. The record is from RNAcentral.